UUCUCUCCAUUUUCCUCUCCUCUCUCUCUGCGUGUCCAGUGACUGACUGCACAAUACACAUCAAUUAUUCAUGGCUGCUCUCUCUCCGUUUCGCAGGCAAAACCAAUCACAGAUGGAGUCAUUGCUAAUGGGCUCCUGCUGUACUUGCCACCGGCUUCUUUGCACUCAAGCAACAAAUACCCCAGAGACAAUGAGAGGGAAAACAGGGAUAAGCUGUUAAAAAAAAAAAAAAAAAAAGAGGGAGAAAGAGAAAGAAACUUCACACAGCACCAACAGCCAUGAGGAGGAGGACACACAUUUGUGGUAGAAGAAGAAGAAAGGCUUUCAACAGUCUCCUAAGCGAGCGGCAGACACUGACUCGUCUGUCUCUGCAUUGGGAUGGCCGACCUGCUGCCGCCAUGCCGGCCCCACCAUGUGAUCCGCUCCCUAUUCCUGUCGCUCGGCAACAGGCCCCGCUGGACGUCAGGGAGCGGGUCCUGCCCCUGGGGCCCUGUGGGAGUGUCAUUUAAGAGCCAUCUCCCGCGGAUGCCAGAGAGGGCUUUCUCUCCGCCUUAACCACCUCCUCGACCAGGGCCUCAACUCAAAAGAGCCACUAAGAGCUUUGCAGGGAGAAUGCCUCCGCGUUGACUCUUUACAGGCCUCAAAAUAUUCAUGCAUAUACAGGUACAUAAUUGUCCAUGAAAUGCACUUUGGGAUGCUGCCUAGGCUCAAGUACAUGCUGCUUUCCAGAUGACUACUGUUGCAGGAAAUUAUUCAGACGGAGAAUCAAUUGGCAAUCUUAUCUAAGCCCGUAAAGUAGGGCCUGAGAUUUGAUUUAGCAUUAAGUAGAAUUAGAACAUUUGGCGGUGUAAGUUAAUUGCAGGCAGAGAAUGAUUCCCCUCCCCUGUGGCUGACACAAGAGUGACAUCGCAUGAUUUGAAGCCUCAUAUAACCGCAUAUAAAACAGUCAACUCCAUAAAUCAGAAAAGUCAGACACAAGCAAAAAUUCAAACAAUAUGUGGCUCUGACUUUCACGUCCUAGCCGAUUUAGGACGGCUCAGUGGAGAGGCCGUGCGCACAGAAGCAAUUGCACAACCCUCGUUUUCCCUCUAACCCAAGACAGGUGGAAGCCACAAAUCAAAAACUGUAAAGGAGCACAAAAUAUUCCUGUUAUCUUUUGAGCCGCUGACAGCCUAUACGUCUUCAUUCCCGUCGUGCUUCAGCAUGCUUUUUCACCAGCUUGAUAACAACAUUUAGCAGUCUACAUCUGUCCCAAUAAUCUGUCACUGCACCAAGAUGACGGAGAUGUAUGAAAACAGGAACUCAUCAUCACUGAUACAGUAGUUGUUUUUUUUUUUUUUUUGGCAUGUGUGAUAAAUGGAAUAUUAUGCUGCGUAUGCUUUGUCUAAAACGCUGGAGAAGAAAACAAACACAGACAAACACAUUCUCCAUUUUGUGAACAAAUUUGGAGGUGAGAUGUGACAUGAAGAAGUGAGGGUUUAUGCAGACAUUAGAGGGUAAUGCUUAAUGUUCAAUGAGGUUGAAAAGGGAAAAGGUAUUUUGCAUUACUAUGUUUGUUGAAAGCCAAGAUAAAAUAGAAAUGGUUGGACUGUUUAUCAUUCUGAGAGCAAUAAAAUAAUUGAAAAGCA
This is a long non-coding RNA of Lates calcarifer (barramundi perch), 1628 nucleotides long. RefSeq lists it as uncharacterized. The transcript is spliced from 2 exons. The record is from RefSeq and is a predicted model, not a curated record. Lineage: Eukaryota; Metazoa; Chordata; Actinopteri; Centropomidae.